AACGAACGCUGGCGGCAUGCCUAACACAUGCAAGUCGAACGAAGGCUUCGGCCUUAGUGGCGCACGGGUGCGUAACGCGUGGGAAUCUGCCCUUUGGUUCGGAAUAACAGCUGGAAACGGCUGCUAAUACCGGAUGAUGACGAAAGUCCAAAGAUUUAUCGCCAGAGGAUGAGCCCGCGUUGGAUUAGGUAGUUGGUGGGGUAAAGGCCUACCAAGCCGACGAUCCAUAGCUGGUCUGAGAGGAUGAUCAGCCACACUGGGACUGAGACACGGCCCAGACUCCUACGGGAGGCAGCAGUGGGGAAUAUUGGACAAUGGGCGCAAGCCUGAUCCAGCAAUGCCGCGUGAGUGAUGAAGGCCCUAGGGUUGUAAAGCUCUUUUACCCGGGUAGAUAAUGACUGUACCGGGAGAAUAAGCCCCGGCUAACUCCGUG
RNAcentral lists this ribosomal RNA (433 nucleotides) under uncultured bacterium. Its description in RNAcentral is "partial 16S ribosomal RNA". It matches the Rfam family "Bacterial small subunit ribosomal RNA", at positions 29 to 507 of the family's 1533-position model. The record is from RNAcentral.